RNAcentral lists this ribosomal RNA (1422 nucleotides) under metagenome. RNAcentral's name for it is "bacterial SSU rRNA". It matches the Rfam family "Bacterial small subunit ribosomal RNA". The record is from RNAcentral.
AUCAUCUCCCCUCGAGUGGUGGAUAACUCUCCGAAAGGAGAGCUAAUACAGCAUGAGACCACGGCUUCGUUGAAGCUGCGGCCAAAGCAGCCCUCUACACGUAAGGUUGCGCUUGAGGAUGAGUCUGCGGCCCAUCAGCUAGUUGGUAGGGUAAUGGCCUACCAAGGCUAAGACUGGUAGCUGGUCUGAGAGGAUGAACAGCCACACUGGAACUGAGACACGGUCCAGACUCCUACGGGAGGCUGCAGUGGGAAUCUUGCGCAAUGGGCGAAAGCCUGACGCAGCGACGCCGCGUGAGCGAUGAAGGCCUUCGGGUUGUAAAGCUCUGUGGGGAGGAAAGAAUAAGGAUUGGCUAAUAUCCAAUCUGAUGACGGUACCUCCUUAGCAAGCACCGGCUAACUCUGUGCCAGCAGCCGCGGUAAGACAGAGGGUGCAAACGUUGUUCGGAAUUACUGGGCGUAAAGCGCGUGUAGGCGGCCCUGCAAGUCGGAUGUGAAAUCCCACGGCUCAACCGUGGAAGUGCAUUCGAAACUGCAGGGCUAGAGUCCUGGAGAGGAAAGUGGAAUGCUUGGUGUAGAGGUGAAAUUCGUAGAUAUCAAGCGGAACACCGGUGGCGAAGGCGGCCUUCUGGACAGUGACUGACGCUGAGACGCGAAAGCGUGGGGAGCAAACAGGAUUGGAUACCCUGGUAGUCCACGCCGUAAACGAUGAGUGCUAGGUGUCACGGGCUUUGACCCUCGUGGUGCCGAAGCUAACGCGUUAAGCACUCCGCCUGGGGAGUACGGUCGCAAGACUAAAACUCAAAGGAAUUGUCGGGGGCCCGUACAAGCGGUGGAGCAUGUUGUUUAAUUCGACGCAACGCGAAGAACCUUACCUGGGCUAGAAAGUACAGGAAGUCGGUCGAAAGGUCGAUGUGCCCUUCGGGGAACCUGUGGUUAGGUGCUGCAUGGCUGUCGUCAGCUCGUGUCGUGAGAUGUUGGGUUAAGUCCCGCAACGAGCGCAACCCCUGUUGUUAGUUGCCAGCACUAAGUUGGGCACUCUAACAAGACUGCCGACCUUUAAGUCGGAGGAAGGUGGGGAUGACGUCAAGUCAUCAUGGCCCUUAUGUCCAGGGCUACAAACGUGCUACAAUGGUCGGUACAAAGGGUAGCGAACUCGCGAGAGGGAGCCAAUCUCAAAAAGCCGACCUCAGUACAGAUAGGAGUCUGCAACUCGACUCCUUGAGGUCGGAAUCGCUAGUAAUCGCUGAUCAGCAUGGCAGCGGUGAAUACGUUCCCGGGCCUUGUACACACCGCCCGUCACACCAUGGGAGUCGAUUGCUCCAGAAGUACCUGAGCCAACCGCAAGGAGGCAGGGUCCCAAGGAGUGAUCGGUAACUGGGGUGAAGUCGUAACAAGGUAGCCGUAGGGGAACCUGCGGCUG